This 825-nucleotide ribosomal RNA is filed under the name Dactylonectria pauciseptata. RNAcentral's name for it is "partial large subunit ribosomal RNA". It matches the Rfam family "Eukaryotic large subunit ribosomal RNA", at positions 75 to 932 of the family's 3401-position model. Lineage: Eukaryota; Fungi; Ascomycota; Sordariomycetes; Hypocreales; Nectriaceae. The record is from RNAcentral.
UUGCCCUAGUAACGGCGAGUGAAGCGGCAACAGCUCAAAUUUGAAAUCUGGCCUUCGGGUCCGAGUUGUAAUUUGUAGAGGAUGCUUUUGGUGAGGUGCCUUCCGAGUUCCCUGGAACGGGACGCCAUAGAGGGUGAGAGCCCCGUCUGGUUGGACACCGAUCCUCUGUAAAGCUCCUUCAACGAGUCGAGUAGUUUGGGAAUGCUGCUCUAAAUGGGAGGUAUAUGUCUUCUAAAGCUAAAUAUUGGCCAGAGACCGAUAGCGCACAAGUAGAGUGAUCGAAAGAUGAAAAGCACUUUGAAAAGAGAGUUAAAAAGUACGUGAAAUUGUUGAAAGGGAAGCGCUCAUGACCAGACUUGGGCUUGGUUGAUCAUCCAGGGUUCUCCCUGGUGCACUCUUCCAGUUCAGGCCAGCAUCAGUUCGCUGCGGGGGAUAAAGGCUUUGGGAAUGUGGCUCCUUCGGGAGUGUUAUAGCCCAUUGUGUAAUACCCUGUGGUGGACUGAGGACCGCGCUUUUGCAAGGAUGCUGGCGUAAUGGUCAUCAGUGACCCGUCUUGAAACACGGACCAAGGAGUCGUCUUCGUAUGCGAGUGUUCGGGUGUUAAACCCCUACGCGUAAUGAAAGUGAACGCAGGUGAGAGCUUCGGCGCAUCAUCGACCGAUCCUGAUGUUCUCGGAUGGAUUUGAGUAAGAGCAUACGGGGCCGGACCCGAAAGAAGGUGAACUAUGCCUGUAUAGGGUGAAGCCAGAGGAAACUCUGGUGGAGGCUCGCAGCGGUUCUGACGUGCAAAUCGAUCGUCAAAUAUGGGCAUGGGGGCGAAAGACU